GGGGGGGUAUACUGUUUUAUCUCUGUCUGUCCGUCCGUCCGUCCAUCAGUCCGUCAGUCCGUCAGUCCGUCCAUCAGUCCGUCAGUCAGUUGUCCCAUGAAACUUUCGUCACAUUUUUCUCAGGAACUACACAUCCACCCUUUCUGUAAUUUGGUAUCAACAUUUAUAUAUGUCAGCCAUACCGUGUGAUGCGUUUUCAGAUUCAUCACUUGACAACUUCCUGUUUACCGAACACUUGUAUGAUUUUACACAUGAUAGCCAAGUUGAAAAUUUUCGUCACAUUUUUCUCAGGGAACUACAAUACAAGGAUUUCUGAAAUUUGGUUUCAGGAUUUAUAUAAGUCAGCUAUACAGUGUGAUGCGUUUUCAGAUCCAUCACUCGACAACUUCCUGUUUACCGAACACUUGUAUGAUUUUACACAUGAUAGCCAAGUUGAAAAUUUUCGUCACAUUUUUCUCAGGAACUACAAUACAAGGAUUUCUGAAAUUUGGUUUCAGGAUUUAUAUAAGUCAGCUAUACCGUGUGAUGCGUUUUCAGAUUCAUCCCUCGACAACUUCCUGUUUACCGAACACUUGUAUGAUUUUACACAUGAUAGCCAAGUUGAAAAUUUUCGUCACAUUUUUCUCAGGAACUACAAUACAAGGAUUUCUGAAAUUUGGUUCAGGAUUUAUAUAAGUCAGCUAUACCGUGUGAUGAGUUUUCAGAUUCAUCACUUGACAACUUCCUGUUUACCGAACACUUGUAUGAUUUUACACAUGAUAGCCAAGUUGAAAAUUUUCGUCACAUUUUUCUCAGGAACUACAAUACAAGGAUUUCUGAAAUUUGGUUUCAGGAUUUAUAUAAGUCAGCUAUACCGUGUGAUGCGUUUUCAGAUUCAUCACUCGACAACUUCCUGUUUACGGAACACUUGCAUAUUUUUACACUAUUAAUAUUAUCCACUUGCGGCGGGGGUAUCAUCAGUGAGCAGUAGCUCGCAGUUUCACUUGUUUUUUGCUUUUU
This 999-nucleotide long non-coding RNA is filed under the name Mytilus galloprovincialis (Mediterranean mussel). Lineage: Eukaryota; Metazoa; Mollusca; Bivalvia; Mytilida; Mytilidae. The record is from RNAcentral.